Long non-coding RNA from Tigriopus californicus, 1158 nucleotides. RefSeq lists it as uncharacterized. Lineage: Eukaryota; Metazoa; Arthropoda; Copepoda; Harpacticoida; Harpacticidae. The record is from RefSeq and is a predicted model, not a curated record. The transcript has 2 exons.
UGUGAAUGAAGGGUCAGCUUCUCGAAAACGUGUUUGAAACUCCAAACUUUCAUUACUGACGCUGGUACCAACAAAGAAAUGAACCUGCCAGAGCUUGGCUAAACGUUCCCAUUGGACCCAUUGCGAUGAUUGCUUGCCCCUAAAUCAAUCCAAAUGCAUCUGGUUUUCAUUUCCAGUCCAUAUCUUCUGGCGCAACAUGACUGCAUUUACCCAUUUGCACGGGAAUAAUAAAUAGGAUUAAAGUGAUCGGACUUAGCAUCAAAUUUUUCGACGGCUGAAGACUCACUGACUUUUAAAUUUGACAUGAUUGUGUCAAAUAUAGCAGUACUGAAUAUUUUUUUGUUUUGAACAAAAAUUAGAACUGUGGCGCUCAUGUUGCUCAUGUUGCUCAUGUUGCUCAUGUUGCCCGUUGAGCGGCUUAUGUCAGUAAGGUGCCCUGAGUAAGUUUUUCCCUCAAUUUGUUCGCUUAGUGGCCUCUCGUAUUCCUCAAUCGGGCCAAAACUCCCUUCAAAGAUUUCUUGCCGCUGCGUCCUCCAUUUGAGUUAAGGAACGGACUUCGACUAUUUCCCUGACGUGGACAUUAGGAUCCCGCAGCCCACGUUCGACGCUGCCUCCAAGGAUUGGGCCUUCCUCAAUUCGACCUACGACAAUGAACAAUCAUUUUUGCAACGUGAUUGUCGUCUUGGGUGAAGACGGGGACUUUGUGUCCUUGGGCCAGAUGAGCUUGGACACCAGAAUGAAGGAAGUCACUGACAUGGUCCUCACUAAGAAGAACUUGGACGGACUUGGACAACAUGUAUUCCUUGGCUACAUGCGACCCUACAAAGAGAUUGUCCUCCUUCCAGCAGAGGCCAAGUUGUCUGACGCGAAGUCAGCCAUUAUCAGGGACACGUCUACGUAUGUCGUUGAUGAUAUUCUUCUUCAGGGCAACCUUUCGGAAUCACCACCCGCAGGCUAGGUGCUUCCAAACGAUUGGGCUGAAGGUGGUCCACACUCAGGCCCGUUCACAAAAAGAAAGGGAGCUUGGUUCAAGUAGGCAGGCUUGACCAAGAAUUAAACUACUAAAGAAUACUUCUCUCCUUGAAAAAAGUUGUAGACUUGAUGAGCAAAUUCCAUUCAUUACUUUUGCGUUUCAUUCAAAAACAAGUUACAAGCCCA